Molecule: long non-coding RNA, 299 nt
Organism: Spodoptera frugiperda (fall armyworm)
Lineage: Eukaryota; Metazoa; Arthropoda; Insecta; Lepidoptera; Noctuidae
Exons: 2
Source: RefSeq, a predicted model, not a curated record
GAAAAGGAUUAAAAAAUUAUAAUCAAUACGUAAUAAGUUACAAACGAUACACGAUGUUGCUUUUUAAAUUAAUUUUAGCACUCAAUUUGUUGGUAGUGGUUUUCGCAUAUUAUCACACCAGUUUACGCAAAAAAGUGAGGUUCGAAUGCCGGGAGGACAAGGAAUGCGCAAGAGGCACAUAUUGUACCUGUGAUUCUGACAUGUCUUGCAUAUGCUUAGCUGUUCAUAUUUUUUAAAGUAAUUAUAUUUAUCAGUCUGUUAUGGUAUCACAACAGAUUUUAAUAGAUAACGCUUAUUAU